UAAUACGGAGGGGGCUAGCGUUGUUCGGAAUUACUGGGCGUAAAGCGGGUGUAGGCGGAUCUCUAAGUCGGGGGUGAAAGCCCAGGGCUCAACCCUGGAAUUGCCUUCGAUACUGGAGAUCUCGAGUCUAGGAGAGGUGAGCGGAAUUCCGAGUGUAGAGGUGAAAUUCGUAGAUAUUCGGAGGAACACCAGAGGCGAAGGCGGCUCACUGGACUAGUACUGACGCUGAGACCCGAAAGCGUGGGGAGCAAACAGGAUUAGAUACCCUGGUAGUCCACGCUGUAAACUAUGAGAGCUAGUUGUCGGUGAGCAUGCUCAUCGGUGACGCAGCUAACGCAUUAAGCUCUCCGCCUGGGGAGUACGGCCGCAAGGUUA
Molecule: ribosomal RNA, 375 nt
Filed under: uncultured bacterium
Lineage: Bacteria
Description: bacterial SSU rRNA
Rfam family: Bacterial small subunit ribosomal RNA
Source: RNAcentral